This 497-nucleotide ribosomal RNA is filed under the name uncultured bacterium. RNAcentral describes it as "partial 16S ribosomal RNA". It matches the Rfam family "Bacterial small subunit ribosomal RNA", at positions 28 to 507 of the family's 1533-position model. The record is from RNAcentral.
GAUGAACGCUGGCGGCGUGCCUAAUACAUGCAAGUCGAGCGAACAGACGAGGAGCCUGCUCCUCUGACGUUAGCGGCGGACGGGUGAGUAACACGUGGAUAACCUACCUAUAAGACUGGGAUAACUUCGGGAAACCGGAGCUAAUACCGGAUAAUAUUUUGAACCGCAUGGUUCAAUAGUGAAAGACGGUUUUGCUGUCACUUAUAGAUGGAUCCGCGCUGCAUUAGCUAGUUGGUAAGGUAACGGCUUACCAAGGCAACGAUGCGUAGCCGACCUGAGAGGGUGAUCGGCCACACUGGAACUGAGACACGGUCCAGACUCCUACGGGAGGCAGCAGUAGGGAAUCUUCCGCAAUGGGCGAAAGCCUGACGGAGCAACGCCGCGUGAGUGAUGAAGGUCUUCGGAUCGUAAAACUCUGUUAUUAGGGAAGAACAAAUGUGUAAGUAACUAUGCACGUCUUGACGGUACCUAAUCAGAAAGCCACGGCUAACUACGUG